Molecule: ribosomal RNA, 560 nt
Filed under: Variovorax sp. 30-B2
Lineage: Bacteria; Pseudomonadati; Pseudomonadota; Betaproteobacteria; Burkholderiales; Comamonadaceae
Description: bacterial SSU rRNA
Rfam family: Bacterial small subunit ribosomal RNA
Source: RNAcentral
GGAUGAUGUGGUUUAAUUCGAUGCAACGCGAAAAACCUUACCCACCUUUGACAUGUACGGAAUUCGCCAGAGAUGGCUUAGUGCUCGAAAGAGAACCGUAACACAGGUGCUGCAUGGCUGUCGUCAGCUCGUGUCGUGAGAUGUUGGGUUAAGUCCCGCAACGAGCGCAACCCUUGUCAUUAGUUGCUACAUUUAGUUGGGCACUCUAAUGAGACUGCCGGUGACAAACCGGAGGAAGGUGGGGAUGACGUCAAGUCCUCAUGGCCCUUAUAGGUGGGGCUACACACGUCAUACAAUGGCUGGUACAAAGGGUUGCCAACCCGCGAGGGGGAGCUAAUCCCAUAAAACCAGUCGUAGUCCGGAUCGCAGUCUGCAACUCGACUGCGUGAAAUCGGAAUCGCUAGUAAUCGUGGAUCAGAAUGUCACGGUGAAUACGUUCCCGGGUCUUGUACACACCGCCCGUCACACCAUGGGAGCGGGUUCUGCCAGAAGUAGUUAGCUUAACCGCAAGGAGGGCGAUUACCACGGCAGGGUUCGUGACUGGGGUGAAGUCGUAACAA